Oncorhynchus tshawytscha (Chinook salmon) is the source of this 459-nucleotide long non-coding RNA. The record is from Ensembl. Lineage: Eukaryota; Metazoa; Chordata; Actinopteri; Salmoniformes; Salmonidae.
CAUAGCUGUACCACAGAGCUGUACCACAUUACUGUACCACAGAGCUGUACCACAUUACUGUACCACAUAGCUGUACCACGGAGCUGUACCACAGAGUAACAUUCUGUCCACCAACUGGUGCCCAGCCCACAUGGGCUUAUAGGACACCAUAUCAAGUAUCAAAACAUUACAUUAAACAAAUGUAAUGCCUUUAACAAUUAAAUGUGUAAUUAGCAAACACAUGUUCAAAUACAUACAGGUUCACAUACUGUACAAAUACAUACAGGUACACAUACUGUACAAAUACAUACAGGUUCACAUACUGUACAAAUACAUACAGGUACACAUACUGUACAAAUACAUACAGGUACACAUACUGUACAAAUACAUAAAGGUACACAUACUGUACAAAUACAUAAAGGUACACAUACUGCUCAAAUACAUACAGGUACACAUACUGCUCAAAUACAUAAAGGUACA